This 633-nucleotide ribosomal RNA is filed under the name Triticum aestivum (bread wheat). Its description in RNAcentral is "partial small subunit ribosomal RNA". The record is from RNAcentral. Lineage: Eukaryota; Viridiplantae; Streptophyta; Magnoliopsida; Poales; Poaceae.
UCGGCAAGAAGAAAGGCUAUACAUGGAGGCAUCUUUCGGAGCCCACACUCGGUUCAUUCAUUUGCCACAAGAUACAUCAAGGAGCUAGAAUUGAUCAACGAAACAAAACCAACUACUGAGCCAAUCUCUGUGGUGGCUCGGUCUCGAGCUACGCGUCCGCAUGCACCUCCUGCUGGACACGCGAAAAUCCAUGUUGAUGCAGCAGUCAGAACGGGCAGUAGGGGGGCGGUAGCCGUGGUGUGCAGAGACCACGAUGGCAAUUAUUUGGGAAGUUCAGCCUUGGUUAUACAAGGCGUGGACGACCCAGUUAACAUGGAGUCUAUCGCAUGCAGGGAAGCCCUAUGUAUCGCGGAAGAUUUGCUCCUCAAUCAGUUCGUCGUUGCAUCCGACGCCAAACAAGUGGUCUGUGACAUAAAUCAAGGGAGUCAAGGGAAGAAUGGUGCGAUCAUCAAUGAGAUUAAAGCAAGAUCUACCUCGUUUUUAUGUACCUUUGUUUUUUAGAGUCGUAGUAGUAAUGUAGAAGCUCAUACAUUAGCCAAAUUUGCUUUAAAUCUAGCUCCUGGGCGUCAUGUGUGGUUUGGCCAGCCACAUGAUGCAAACAUCAUCCCACCUUCUGUGGUUUUCGAUCAAUAA